Molecule: ribosomal RNA, 253 nt
Filed under: uncultured bacterium
Lineage: Bacteria
Description: partial 16S ribosomal RNA
Rfam family: Bacterial small subunit ribosomal RNA
Source: RNAcentral
UACGUAGGGUGCAAGCGUUGUCCGGAAUUAUUGGGCGUAAAGAGCUCGUAGGCGGUCUGUCGCGUCGGCUGUGAAAACCCGGAGCUCAACUCCGGGCCUGCAGUCGAUACGGGCAGACUGGAGUUCGGCAGGGGAGACUGGAAUUCCUGGUGUAGCGGUGAAAUGCGCAGAUAUCAGGAGGAACACCGGUGGCGAAGGCGGGUCUCUGGGCCGAUACUGACACUGAGGCACGAAAGCGUGGGGAGCAAACAGG